RNAcentral lists this non-coding RNA (149 nucleotides) under Desulfofundulus kuznetsovii. RNAcentral describes it as "Desulfotomaculum kuznetsovii SAM-I sequence". It matches the Rfam family "SAM riboswitch aptamer (S box leader)". Rfam says of the family: The SAM riboswitch is found upstream of a number of genes which code for proteins involved in methionine or cysteine biosynthesis in Gram-positive bacteria. The SAM riboswitch acts at the level of transcription termination control. Lineage: Bacteria; Bacillati; Bacillota; Clostridia; Eubacteriales; Peptococcaceae. The record is from RNAcentral.
CUCUUAUCCAGAGUGGUGGAGGGACUGGCCCGAUGAAACCCGGCAACCGCCCUGGGGUGAAGGUAAACCCGCAAACCGCCGGCGGCUCUUACCUUUGCCCGGGGAAUGGUGCUAAUUCCUGCAGAAGUUUAUCUUCUGACAGAUAAGAG